UGUUGGGUUGUUUUGCUGGGUUAUUUUUUUACAUUUUAAACACUUUUUGGGUAGUUUCAGUUUUCUAGGUGUUGGGUUAAAACUGCUGGGUUAUUAUGUUGGGUUGUUUGAAGAGGCUCACGUGCUUCGCGCCCUUGAUGUUUGAAUGUGCUCAGCAAUGGUCGUCGUGAAAGGACAGAGUCACUGAAGCAGUUGUUUCAAGAGUGUGCAGAGUUUUUAUGUCCAUCCAUUGAUGAGGCUAGCAAGACCUUCAAACAACUUCAGCCAAUUGCAACAAAUGUGGUGGAAUUUCUUCUCUGGACAGAAUCCUCGAAACCCUUUCCUUUCGUCCUGGCC
Molecule: non-coding RNA, 336 nt
Organism: Misgurnus anguillicaudatus (oriental weatherfish)
Lineage: Eukaryota; Metazoa; Chordata; Actinopteri; Cypriniformes; Cobitidae
Source: RefSeq, a predicted model, not a curated record